Molecule: ribosomal RNA, 253 nt
Filed under: uncultured bacterium
Lineage: Bacteria
Description: partial 16S ribosomal RNA
Rfam family: Bacterial small subunit ribosomal RNA
Source: RNAcentral
UACGGGGGGAGCAAGCGUUGUUCGGAUUUACUGGGCGUAAAGGGCGCGUAGGCGGUGCGGUACGGUUUCGGUGAAAUCCCUCGGCCCAACCGAGGAACAGCCGGAGCUACGGCCGGACUAGACGGCAUCAGGGGACAGUGGAAUUCCCGGUGUAGCGGUGAAAUGCGCAGAUAUCGGGAGGAACACCAAUGGCGAAGGCAGCUCGCUGGGACGUUACUGACGCUGAGACGCGAAAGCGUGGGGAGCAAACAGG